Molecule: ribosomal RNA, 497 nt
Filed under: uncultured bacterium
Lineage: Bacteria
Description: partial 16S ribosomal RNA
Rfam family: Bacterial small subunit ribosomal RNA
Source: RNAcentral
GAUGAACGCUGGCGGCGUGCCUAAUACAUGCCAGUCGAGCGAACAGACGAGGAGCUUGCUCCUUCGACGUUAGCGGCGGACGGGUGAGUAACACGUAGGUAACCUACCUAUAAGACUGGGAUAACUUCGGGAAACCGGAGCUAAUACCGGAUAAUAUUUCGAACCGCAUGGUUCGAUAGUGAAAGAUGGCUUUGCUAUCACUUAUAGAUGGACCUGCGCCGUAUUAGCUAGUUGGUAAGGUAACGGCUUACCAAGGCAACGAUACGUAGCCGACCUGAGAGGGUGAUCGGCCACACUAGGACCGAGACCCCGUCGAGACUCGCACGGGAUGCAGAAGUCGGGAAUCUUCCGAAAUGGGCGAAUGCCUGACGGAGCAACGCCGCGUGAGGGAUGAGGGUCUUCGGAGCGGAGAACGUUGUUAUGAGGGAAAAACACACGUCUAAGAAACUGGGCACGUCUUGACGGUACCUAAUAAAAAAGCCACGGCUAACCUCGUC